RNAcentral lists this long non-coding RNA (925 nucleotides) under Vitis vinifera (wine grape). Its description in RNAcentral is "long non-coding RNA (VVIN_LNC005693)". Lineage: Eukaryota; Viridiplantae; Streptophyta; Magnoliopsida; Vitales; Vitaceae. The record is from RNAcentral.
GUUGGUGGAAAUACUCAUCCAAGUCCUCGUCUCCAUUUUCAUCAUGAUCAAACUGGCAGAAGAAGGGAUUAUCGGGUCUCUUUCCCGCACGAACAUCUUCAAAGCUCAACAUGGAUCUCGAACCUAAACCAGAGACACCCAAAACAUUAUUCCACAUCCUUUUAUCAAUGGCCAAAACUUCACACACAAUUCAAUUCCCCAUUUCUUGAAUUCCUUAUUAAGGAAUCACUCCUUACACGGUUUGUGGAAAAACACAUAUAAGUCUGUCCAAAAAUAGUGAAUUUGGCUGGCCCUAUUACCCACAUUGGUUGCUUUAUGGCAAAUCAGAACCUUCAGAAAAGUUUCUUCUUGUUCUUCCCUUUUUAAAAUCAUCAUAUGUUCUCUGAGUCUAAAACUAUAAUUCAGAAACUUAAAAAGAAUUACAGUGGGACACAAGCACGAAACAAUCAGAGAAAUUGGCUGAUGCACUCCAAUUUCCCAUGUAACAGAGGGAAAAGAAAACACCUCACAAGUACAACAAAGAAGGGAAAAAACAAAAAUAAAGAUAACUGAACCUUACCCGUCAACGCUUUUCCCGGAAAUUUAUUUUUUUCCGGCAAAGCAAACAAAUCUAAAAGAGUAAAACUUUGCAAUAAAAGGAAAUGAAUUACAGAGAUGAAGCACAAAGAAGAAAGCAAGAGAACUUGAUUAUGAUCAAACACCCAAUUCAUGCAAGUGGAUCUGCAUACAAAGAGAGAUAAGAGAUAAGGAUAGAGUACCAAGAAAAGAAGGAGAAGAGGCAGAAAGGAAGAGAGCAUCAAGAGGCUGAGAAGAACAAGGGACCCUUUGGUUCUGAAGCAUCGCUGCGAGAUUGACCCUCCCACUCGCCAUACUUACAACUCUCCAGACUAAUUCUCAAGCUCCCAUAGCUUCCGAAUUCCGACGA